UACGAAGGGAGCAAGCGUUACUCGGAAUUACUGGGCGUAAAGCGCAUGUAGGCGGAACCACAAGUCAGAGGUGAAAUCCCAGGGCUCAACCCUGGAAUUGCCUUUGAAACUGUGGUUCUUGAGUAUGACAGAGGAUAGUGGAAUUUCCAGUGUAGAGGUGAAAUUCGUAGAUAUUGGAAGGAACACCAGUGGCGAAGGCGACUGUCUGGGUCAUAACUGACGCUGAGAUGCGAAAGCGUGGGGAGCAAACAGG
This 253-nucleotide ribosomal RNA is filed under the name uncultured bacterium. Its description in RNAcentral is "partial 16S ribosomal RNA". It matches the Rfam family "Bacterial small subunit ribosomal RNA", at positions 524 to 776 of the family's 1533-position model. The record is from RNAcentral.